RNAcentral lists this ribosomal RNA (64 nucleotides) under Escherichia coli. The record is from RNAcentral. Lineage: Bacteria; Pseudomonadati; Pseudomonadota; Gammaproteobacteria; Enterobacterales; Enterobacteriaceae.
UGCCUGGCGGUUCCCGAUGGUAGUGUGGGGUCUCCCCAUGCGAGAGUAGGGAACUGCCAGGCAU